UCGAACGCCUCACGAUGUGCGCAGAACAUCGUAAUGAUACAAUUACGUUUCACAAUGUACGGAUUAACAUUGUAGUUACAAUUACGCUUCACGAUGUGCGCCAAAACAUCGU
Molecule: non-coding RNA, 112 nt
Filed under: unclassified sequences
Description: Fusobacteriales-1 RNA
Rfam family: Fusobacteriales-1 RNA
Source: RNAcentral